UUUGUGGUUCUAGCAGAUCCUAGGCAAGCUGGAAUAGAUUCUCUUCUCCGAAAGAUUUAUGAGAUUUACUCAGACUUUGCCCUCAAGAAUCCAUUCUAUUCCUUAGAAAUGCCUAUCAGGCUGGAAUGCAAUGGUGCCAUCACGGCUCACCACAACCUCUGCCUUCCGGGUUCAGGCGAUUCUUUUGUCUCAGCCUCCGGAGUAGCUGGGAUUACAGGCACCUGCCACCAUGCCCGGCUAAUUUUUGUAUUUUUAGUAGAGACAGGGUUUCACCGUAUUGGCCAGGCUAGUCUCAAAAGUCCUGACCUCAGCUGAUCCGCCCACCUCGGCCUUCCAUGAUAUAUGUUGUUCUUCAAGCAGUUUCCCCUGGCUUAAGUGGGGAGAAAGCCUCAG
This 393-nucleotide small RNA is filed under the name Pan troglodytes (chimpanzee). RNAcentral describes it as "processed transcript". The record is from RNAcentral. Lineage: Eukaryota; Metazoa; Chordata; Mammalia; Primates; Hominidae.